AAUGAGUUGGCAGAGUAUGCACCUGACUUAGGAUCAGCCCACAGAUAACAUCUACUCAUUA
Molecule: transfer RNA, 61 nt
Filed under: Marphysa tamurai
Lineage: Eukaryota; Metazoa; Annelida; Polychaeta; Eunicida; Eunicidae
Description: tRNA-Leu
Source: RNAcentral